CCCACAACUUUUUGUAAAUACUUCUUAGGCAUACUCCCAAGAUUGAUCAGUUAGGAGGGGCCGUUAUUUAGUUUAGCCAGAAAAAAUAAAAAGCAAAAGCACAGGACUCUUGGGUCCAAGGACUGCCUCUGAAGCAGCCAGACCUGGGUUUUACACUGAGAAGAUUAAAACACAUUCAGCACAGGGACUCUUGCUUAUUCUCCUGGUAAAUCACCUUGUAUGCCAAUGGCCUUGGGCUGCUGGAUUACAGACAGGGAAUUUUGAGUAGAGACAAGCUCUGGGCUUUGAGAGUUGAACCGCUUUUUUCUCCUGCCUCAGCAUCAGUCAUAGAGACUGGAAAUAUAUCUUCUUGUUCCCUGAUCCUUCACAGACAAGGUGAUGCCUACCUCUGUGGAACUGCAGCUUCUAGCUUUCUGUGGGUGAGUGGUGAAAGACCAUGGUCAGAUCAGGCCAGGUACAUCCCAGGGCCUAGCAAAGCAGGCCCUGAAUUUCUUCCACAGUAGGAUCAGGCCCAUUUGGGACUAUCUCUCUCCCUGUUCCAAGACAGCAAGUUUUCUUGGUAGGUGCAUGCUAUAGAGGGCCCAGAGGACCCCAGCAUAGAGUUCCCAGUCCACAAGAGUCCUAAGAAGCAAAACAUGGAGGAAUAACUAGCCUCCUCUCCAUUAGGCUUGUAGCUUUUUACUAAUGAAGAGGUUCCUUUGUUCCCCCAGACCAGAGUUGCAGAAGGCCCAUCCCAACCCCCCUGUCUGGGAUGACCCUUUCCGGUGUCCCAAUCCAUGGAGCUCCUAUGCAAUAUAUAUGAAGGUGUUCAAACUUUCAUAAACCUAGUGAAACCGAUUCCCUUUCCUUUUCCUCAAGCCUUUCCAUCACUGUGACUAUCUGAAAUUCUGCCAAGUACAAAAAUUAGUGUCUGACUCUAAGGGUUUGAGAAAAUGUUCCUUCCAGUCAUUUCUUCCUGGCUGCCCCAAAUUGAGCUCAGUGCUUUUUACAAGCACCACCUGCUCCACCCACUACCAAUGGAGGUUAAGAUUAUGUUUAUGCUCCUCUGAAGACUACUUGCCCUAGGCCUAUUUUUCACCAAACACUCCUUUUCCUUAUGCUCAGAUUUAAAGAAAGGGGCAUAUGAAUGACACAGUGGAGCUGCAGGGACAGAGGGUAAGCUGAGGCAGUAGCUAUAGCCACAUAAUCUCUCCAGGUCUGCACUGUGGCUUCCUCUCCUGAGACAAGCCUUCUGCAACAAUGGUAGGCUCUGUGCUUUGAGUAAAGGCCCCUUUGGAUCCCAGAGAUGGAGCAGUUCCUUUGCUCCCAGGUACUGGCCCACUCCCAAGUGCUUUUCUUCCUUUGAGAACAGCCAGAGCCAUGAGCACAUUGCCUCUUCCCACCUUCAGUCCAAGUGACUGGGCCUAUAGCGCAGACACUGGCCUUUUUGGCCCUGGUGCUCCCUAUGGGAUGUCACCCUGGCCUUGUUUGAGUGGCCAGAUCUGGGAGUUUCAGCAUUCCUAUUACUAACAUGGGAGGCACAGGAUCAAACUCCCUGGGAAGAGGGCACCUCACUGGGGAGUGAGUCCAGAAUUGUGCCUGGGCCUCUUAGUCUGAAGCACAACCUCAAUCAUUGCAGGUUUCAUGGCUUCAGUAAGAGUGGUGCAAGGAAGCCCUAAAGCCAAGAGGCAUAAGCUGUCUGGCAGGGGCCCAGGCUAGCCAUGACCACCGCAGAGCCAAGAAUAACCUCCAGGCAGGACUGGUAGCAGACUCUAGUGAUCCUACAAGCAUGACCCCUUCAAACUAGCAGAGUAAAGGCAGGAAUAUACUUGGUACUAAAAGGGAGACCAACUGGAUGUCAGGACAACAUCCUGUAGCACCUGUAACCAUAACCCUUUUUACUCCUCAAUUUACAGUAGAAUAAAAUUGCUACUUUCUCCAUGCCACUUAGUUUGAAUAUGCCCAGGAUCUCUCUCUGGGCUCCUGGCUACAGCUCAGAGAAUAGAGAUCUCCUGGCUGGAGAAUGGAAAAUAUUAAUGUAUCAUGCCUGUUCCUUAUAGCUCAGUCCUGGAAUGGGGUAGGACUGGGCAUUUCCUCUGCUGUUGCUUUCCUGCUGCCACUGCUUUUGGCAACCUUGAAAGGAAAGAAAAUAAACAGAUGACAGAAUUCCACUAGACCCAACUAACACUAAGGAAAACCUUCCCUCUGAGCCACAUGUCCUGAUGACCAAGAUUGUGGACAGGGUGUCACAUCUGUCUGGGCCAGUGACUAAGAAGCCCAAUCACAUUCUAGUUUGGAUAGCAUGUGUUGGCAUGACCAUAGAUGAGAACAUCAAGGUACAAGCAGCAAGGCCUUCCCAUAUCCAUGUGAAACAAAGGCCUUCAAGCUUAGCCUUCUUUAAGAGAUGGCCUAUGCUCUAUCUGCCAGCCAAACACAGGAUUGUGAAGGGGGGCUCAGAAGAGUCAAGCAACUGUGGGGUCCAAUGCCCUCUAGUCCCUUGUGCCCUUCCUAUGUUCUUUUCUGAGGAAGGUAACUUGACAGUAAGCUGAGGGGAACAUCCCCAAGCCCUGUCUUUCUCAUCACUACAGCUGCAUGCUCCUCCCUAUGGCUCAGCCUUCACUCCUGAAGGAGCUGAUGCUCCCAGAGGCUGGGCACAGUGAAAAUCAUAAUAAAGAGAUUGUGAUGCU
Molecule: long non-coding RNA, 2666 nt
Filed under: Lynx pardinus (Iberian lynx)
Lineage: Eukaryota; Metazoa; Chordata; Mammalia; Carnivora; Felidae
Source: RNAcentral